Molecule: unclassified non-coding RNA, 243 nt
Filed under: Hevea brasiliensis (rubber tree)
Lineage: Eukaryota; Viridiplantae; Streptophyta; Magnoliopsida; Malpighiales; Euphorbiaceae
Source: RNAcentral
GUUUAGAAAUUAUGUAGAUUCAACAAUGAACCUGUUAUUUUAAGUGUUGGGACAGCAAAAGCUAAACAAAGAGAUCAACUUGAAUCGGAAAAAGCAACCUGAAGUUGAAGAUCACAAGCUUGAAGAAUCUAAACUUGAGGAAUUUAAAACUUUGGUUGUAUUGCCUUUUGCUAUGAUUGAUGAUGAUAAGCUUGAAUUGGAAUUUCUUUAUCAAUGUAUCAUAGAAGAUGAAGUUGAAACUCA